GAUGAACGCUGGCGGCGUGCCUAAUACAUGCAAGUCGAGCGAACAGAUGAGGAGCUUGCUCCUCUGACGUUAGCGGCGGACGGGUGAGUAACACGCGGAUAACCUACCUAUAAGACUGGGAUAACUUCGGGAAACCGGAGCUAAUACCGGAUAAUAUAUUGAACCGCAUGGUUCAAUAGUGAAAGACGGUUUUGCUGUCACUUAUAGAUGGAUCCGCGCCGCAUUAGCUAGUUGGUAAGGUAACGGCUUACCAAGGCAACGAUGCGUAGCCGACCUGAGAGGGUGAUCGGCCACACUAGAACUGAGACACGGUCCAGACUCCUACGUGAGGCAGCAGUAGGGAAUCUUCCGCAAUGCGCGAAAGCCUGACGGAGCAACGCCGCGUGAGUGAUGAAGGUCUUCGGAUCGUAAAACUCUGUUAUUAGGGAAGAACAAAUGUGUAAGUAACUAUGCACGUCUUGACGGUACCUAAUCAGAAAGCCACGGCUAACUACGUG
This 497-nucleotide ribosomal RNA is filed under the name uncultured bacterium. RNAcentral describes it as "partial 16S ribosomal RNA". It matches the Rfam family "Bacterial small subunit ribosomal RNA", at positions 28 to 507 of the family's 1533-position model. The record is from RNAcentral.